GAUGAACGCUGGCGGCGUGCCUAAUACAUGCAAGUCGAGCGAACAGACGAUUAUCUUGCUCCUCUUACUUUAUCGUCUGACGUGUGUGUAACACGUGGCUAACCUACCUAUUAUACUUGUAUAACUUCGGGAAACCUGCUCUAAUACCGGUUAAUAUAUUUAACCGCAUUGUUCAAUAGUUCUAGUCGUUUUUGCUGUCUCUUAUCGAUUGUUCAGCGCCGCAUUAGCUAGUUGGUAAGGUAACGUCUUACCAAGGCGACGAUGCGUAGCCGACAUGAGAGGGGGAUCGGCAACACUGGAACUGAGACACGGAAAAGACGACUACGGGAGGCAGCAGUAGGGAAUAUUCCGAAAUGGGCGAAAGCCUGACGGAGCAAAGCCGAGUGAGUGAUGAAGGUCUACGGAGCGGAAAAAUCUGUUAUUAGGGAAGAAAAAAUGGGUAAGAAAAAAGGAACGGAGUGACGGUAAAGAAACAGAAAGCAACGGCUAAAUACGUG
RNAcentral lists this ribosomal RNA (497 nucleotides) under uncultured bacterium. RNAcentral's name for it is "partial 16S ribosomal RNA". It matches the Rfam family "Bacterial small subunit ribosomal RNA", at positions 28 to 507 of the family's 1533-position model. The record is from RNAcentral.